RNAcentral lists this ribosomal RNA (253 nucleotides) under uncultured bacterium. RNAcentral describes it as "partial 16S ribosomal RNA". It matches the Rfam family "Bacterial small subunit ribosomal RNA", at positions 524 to 776 of the family's 1533-position model. The record is from RNAcentral.
GACAGAGGUGGCAAGCGUUGUUCGGAAUUACUGGGCGUAAAGGGCGCGUAGGCGGCCCACCAAGUCAGGCGUGAAAGCCCCGGGCUCAACCUGGGAACGGCGCUUGGGACUGAUGGGCUGGAGUUCGGGAGAGGAGAGUGGAAUUCCUGGUGUAGCGGUGAAAUGCGCAGAUAUCAGGAAGAACACCCGUGGCGAAAGCGGCUCUCUGGAACGGUACUGACGCUGAGACGCGAAAGCGUGGGGAGCGAACAGG